Long non-coding RNA from Capsella rubella, 282 nucleotides. RefSeq lists it as uncharacterized. The record is from RefSeq and is a predicted model, not a curated record. The transcript is spliced from 2 exons. NCBI's taxonomy places the organism in Eukaryota, Viridiplantae, Streptophyta, Magnoliopsida, Brassicales, Brassicaceae.
UGUGCACACAAUAUUAAUUACUACCACCUAAAAUAUAGACAUUUCCAAUAAAAAAAAUUACUACAAAUAAAACCCCACAUUUACGUGGGUGGACCCACAGCCAAGGUGGUGGGGGCAGCUGCCACCAACAAAAAAAAAAUUAUUAAAAAAUUAUUAAAUAUUAUUAGAAAACAAAAUAUGUCCCCACCAAAAAAACUACUUUUCAUCCUUUUUCUUGGAAAGCCCAUUAAUCAAUGUACCAAAAAAAUAUAUAUUAAUAUAUAAAUUAAGGACUUACUAAUC